GCUGGGGUAGCAAAGUUUGGUCAAAUGUGACAGCUUCAGGGGCUGUUCUCUUAGGAGUUCGAGAGUUCAAAUCUCUCCCCCAGCA
Molecule: transfer RNA, 85 nt
Filed under: Microcaldota archaeon
Lineage: Archaea; Nanobdellati; Microcaldota
Description: tRNA-Leu
Rfam family: tRNA
About the family: Transfer RNA (tRNA) molecules are approximately 80 nucleotides in length.
Source: RNAcentral